GUCGGCUGAGGUGAGGCGGGCCGGCGCCAUCUUGUGACCCGCCGAGGGGCAGGGCCCGGCGCCGGGUUGGGGCGGCCUCUGAGCCUCGGGACCGGGUUUCCACCUCGGUCGCUUCAGCACUCGCAACACUUCACCAUCACAAAUGGCAGGAAGGAGAAGCUUUAAUCCUAGUUUUAAUCCACUCACCAGCACCAGUCGGACUCCUUUCGCUGGAGAGGAAGUCUCUCCUCAUGCUCAUCCGCGGCCACUCGGUACAGCCGAAGGUAUUCUUUAUUGGCAGCGCUGGGUGCACGGGGGAUCGCUCCACCUAUCGUGCACACUGUUGGGCCUAAUUGU
Molecule: long non-coding RNA, 336 nt
Organism: Harpia harpyja (harpy eagle)
Lineage: Eukaryota; Metazoa; Chordata; Aves; Accipitriformes; Accipitridae
Exons: 3
Source: RefSeq, a predicted model, not a curated record